AAUGUAGAGCCUGACUAAAGGGUUACUGUGAUAGGGUAAAUCAUGUAGAAAAUCUACCUACAUUA
Molecule: transfer RNA, 65 nt
Filed under: Cryptotermes domesticus
Lineage: Eukaryota; Metazoa; Arthropoda; Insecta; Blattodea; Kalotermitidae
Description: tRNA-Ile
Source: RNAcentral